This 428-nucleotide long non-coding RNA is filed under the name Micromonas commoda. RNAcentral describes it as "long non-coding RNA (MCOM_LNC000345)". Lineage: Eukaryota; Viridiplantae; Chlorophyta; Mamiellophyceae; Mamiellales; Mamiellaceae. The record is from RNAcentral.
CACGAUCUCCUUCGCCUCCUCCUCGGUCAUGUCCUCCUUAAAGUCCGCCUCGAAGACCGCCAUCGCCGCGAGGGAACCGGAACCCAUGGUGGCGAAGGGCAGGGAAUCGCUGCUGCCGUGCGGGUGAACGCUGAAGAGGUGCGGGCCGUUGAUAUCCACGCCGCCGAGCACCAGCGCGGCGCCCACGUGACCCUGGUACUUGAACAGGUGCGACUUGAGCAUGGUGAGCGCGGUGACGACGCGGGAUUUGCGCUUGGUGGCCAGCCGGUGGAGCUCCAGCGCGGAUGCGAUCAUGCCUGCGAGUCGUGGGUGCGACGGAGAAGGGGACGAGAAGUCAGAGAGAGAGCGGCGGGUCGUCGGCGGCGGGUGUGCCCGUCUGGCACGGUUUGUUUUGGUCCGACGAGGUUUUACCCUAAAAUCGAGGCGAG